CUGAUGAAUAUUCUUAUGUUCAAAGCAAGCAUGAACCUGAUCCUGAUGAUUCUCAAAAUAAUAACCUUGGGCUGAUGGAGACCUUGAACAAUUUGAUUAAGUUGGGCAAGACCAUUGAUGAACCUGAUCCAGAUGACUCAGAAGUAAAAGUAGGAGAUGGAAACAUCCAGGGACCCAAUCAGGACAAUUCUUUAAAGAUUAGAAGCAGGAAAGGCCAAGCCCAUCUAGAUAAGGUUUAUGGAGAACCUGAUCCUGAUGAAUCUCAAGCUGACAGAACUAUGCAGGUAGAGCCUGACCCUGAUGAUGAUUUGGCAGCCUCACAUGAAAUUUCAAGUAUGAAGAUUGAUGAAAGCAUGAUCAUUGAUGAACCUGAUCCAGAUGACUCAUAUGCAAAACAGAGCAAUUCACGACAUAGGAACAUCAAAGGAGCAGAUCAGAGCAAUACUCCUCUGACAGAAAGCAUAGAAGAUGCAGCCUGUCCAA
This 483-nucleotide long non-coding RNA is filed under the name Jatropha curcas. Its description in RNAcentral is "long non-coding RNA (JCUR_LNC002203)". Lineage: Eukaryota; Viridiplantae; Streptophyta; Magnoliopsida; Malpighiales; Euphorbiaceae. The record is from RNAcentral.